CCACAUUUGUAUAAAGGAGGGGUGGGGUUGUUGGGGGAUUGUCCUUGGAGGCUGGUUCCUACAGCCACUCAUCUGUCUUGAGUGUUGGCUGCCUCCUCUGGGGGGAUUACCUCUCUCUGUCAGGGAUGUUCAGAAAAUGAAAUGGAACCAGAUAUGUAAAAGGGCAACACAGAACCUUCAUUUUCCCUGUGCUUGGACCGGUGACAACAGCCUGGCAUUAUCCGUUGGACAUUUCUGAGGGUGGGUAGAAGGAUAAGGAGGAGAGACUCAGGUCUCCCCUUCCCCUGAGUUUCCCCUCCCAGGUAGACCUGAGCCCUCCCUGGCACAUCGGACAUGCUGGCUGUCCCGACUCCAGACCUAGGAUCCCUGUUCUGUGGGGUCGGCCCCCCCGCCCCCCCUGCCCAGAGCUGUGGACAUGCCCCACGUCAGUACUGCCCUCUGAAUCAGCACCACGGACAGCACCAUCGAGCUUUCAGAGGGAUCCCCGGGAACCUGGUGCACAUCUCUUCGCUCAUGAACUCCUCACCAUCUCGACGGUGGAUGACACGUAGCUGGCACUCCUCGCUCCAUGUCCCCGGCACACCCGACUCCUGCGAGCAGAACCUGUGUGCUCUGCAGCAAUGAAGAGGAGGAGCGUGGCCCUGUGAGACAGCAGCGGUGAAGAAAUCGGCCUGGUGCCAGACAGCCAUAACGAAGGGGGAAAGGGGAAGUUUCUAUCCCUUUCGAAAUCUGCCCCUUCUCUUCUGUACUUCUCCCCAUCCCAACCUCGCUUACAAUCACAGCCUCAGGUUCCCUUUCCUCCUUUGAGUCAGGCUCCCCUUGACACCCUCGGAGUCUUCGCCUCCACUGCCUGAGUGUCCCCUCUGCCCAAGCUUCCUGUGACCCAACCUCCAACCUGGGGGGACGGCAGCCCCUCACUCUGCCUGUGGUCCCCUGUCACAGGGAGCUCCAGGCAUUGAACACUUACUGUCUCCCCACUGGACAGUGACUCUCGGGGCAGUGGCCGGGGCUAGCGUGUGAUCUCGUGAGCAGGGAGGGGAUGCCCACUGCAUGGGUGCCAAGGGAGGGAGGACAGUCGGCCUCCUCACACCUCCACCCCCGGCCUCCCCCAUCUCUUGCAUCCCUGUGUCCUGCCCCUGGCAGGACUGACUUCCACAGACAUGUACAGCCUGUGAAUCAGAGGGUCUGGCCAGAAGGGUCCCGUUUUCACUUUGCAGAGAACAACCCCAGAGGGGGGCGGUAUUGGGAGAUGGGGCUUGAGCCCUGCACAAGGCGUGAAUUUGGCUCCCUGAGGACUCUCACCCUCUCUGGCCUCUAGGCCCAGGGCCCCCAGGAGUGGACGUGUGGUGGCGGAUGGCUGAUUCCCAAUGGCUGUCCUGGCCCUGACAGUGUCUGGGUGUCAAGUUCCUCCUCCGUGGCGUGUCACUGUUCUGACAUCACCUGCAUCUUCCUGUCGGGCCUUCCUCUGAAUCUUGCAACUUUUAGUUCCUGAGAGAACAACCCUGACAAACAGACAUUCUGGGGACCC
RNAcentral lists this long non-coding RNA (1528 nucleotides) under Ursus maritimus (polar bear). Its description in RNAcentral is "lncRNA (ENSUMAG00000010201.1)". The record is from RNAcentral. Lineage: Eukaryota; Metazoa; Chordata; Mammalia; Carnivora; Ursidae.